GUCGCGACCAGCGCGGCGCUGCCCGUCCCCCUCACCGCCCCGGCCGAGCCCCGCUGCGGAGCGGAGUCUCCCGCCUGCCCUUUGCGGUGUUUCCUCCCCGGCAGGUCCCGCACGGCGCUGAGGCCCCUAAACCGACUGGCCUGGGGGCUGUCGGGGGUCAGCCGGGCGGUUGGGAGCGAGAGGAGCCUGGGCCGAAUCACUUGGGCUCGUGCCGGCCGAGGUCGUGUUUUGGGGUCUGCAAGAGCCAGAAAAUGUCUGCGGAGCCCCUGACUAUUUUGUGGAGGUCCAAAGACUCUUUUGGGAAUUAUAAAGGGGAGCGGGAGGAGACUGGAAGGAGCCAGAGCAUCUGUGACAUUUCUUUAGUCUUCAGUAAAGAUCUUCAGUGAGUUACCUACCAUGGGAGUCGGGAUAUCAGCAGCCUCCAAAGUCUGUAAAGAAAGAAAUAAAGUAACUGUUGGGCCAUCAGACUGGAUGUCAGUAUCAGCCACAGGGAAUGGAAUAAUGCUCCUUGCUGUUGGAAGGAAGGCUCACCUCCAUGCAGUUGCAUUGGCACAACUGCAGCCCUGGUGGACUGUGACACACAGAUGGUGUGGAAAGGAGGAAGGGAGGCUGCUGGAUGGGAUGUUCUUCCCCCUGGCCUGCAUUCUGCUGUUCCUGCUGGAAGUGGUAUCCAGUAGGACAUGGAUAAUGAGCACAGCUGAAUUCUCAUGAGUAACAAAACCCUGCCCCUGCUCUUUACUCUGAAAGGUUUUCCAGAGCUCGGCAGUUAAGGACGACUCCAAACCUGAAAAACAAGAUGGCAGGUAACUACAAUUAAAACAAACAGAUAAUUUUUUCAACAUCUUAAUCACAUUUGCAAGAUAAAUACACUGCCAAGCACUAGUUAUGUUCUUAAAUAUUGUCUCAUUCACAGUUAAAACCUUUUCAUCUUGUUGACAGGAGUGGUUAUCUCCUCCAUACAUUAAAUCAUUCCAUGAAGUAUUUCUGUAUGUUUCUUAUAUUUGAAUCUCCAGUAUCCUGAUUGUUUCUGUGGAAUUUCCAUAUUUACUCUCUACAAAGUACAGUUGCCUGGCAGUUCUUUUUCUAGCUGCUGCUUUUUCCUGAUAUGGUUUGGACUUCCUGCAUAAUUUGUACAAAGCAUUCUCUUCUAUAAAUGUAAUUUUAAUUUUGUUUUAGUAAAACUGCGAUAUUCUGAUACGAGUUUAAAAGAGAUAAAUUCUUCAUACUUCUCAGCUAAAAUAAUGAAAUGCUGCCUUGAACCUUUAGAAAUGAGAUAAUAUUAUUUUUAUUAGAUUAUGAAACUGCAAGUAAUGACAGAUAAAUGCAGAUACAUCAUUAUUCUUAAAAAUCUAAACUGCUAAUCAAUAAAAGAUGUUAUUCCAGAAUACUGACAGCAGCAAUGAAUAAAGCAAUAUCUUUAUCACAGUGGGCUUUUGGAAGGUCUGUACUAAUUCCAGAAUAACACAAGAGCAAAGAAAUGUGUGCUUUUACCAUGCUUCAUGCAGCACCUACAGCUGCACAUGAGGGGUGUGUUUCCAUUCUUUCUACUGCACUUUUAAUCAUUUAUGGACAGCACUUAGGCAGGAAUAUAUCCUUGAUCUAAACAAGCAGAUAUUAUGCAUGUGUAUGUUUAUAUUUAAGUGUUUAUGUGUAGUUACUACAGUCAGGAAAACUACAAUUUCAUAUUUUAUGUUAACAAAGUGGUCUUUUAGCUCUAGAUCACAAUAUUAGAGGUGUGCUGGGAGCAUGAUGAGCAAAAGACUCCCUGAAUGCUGCUGCAGAGCUGGUUGGACAUCCUACCAUGGUUUCUGUCCAGUUUUGAACAGAGGCUUGUCCACUCACACUCACUUGGGUAACAGGAACUCUUUAAUUUCCUUACAGGGCCCCUUAGUAAAAGUUUAGACACAAACUCCACCUUUGAGUUUGGAGUCUGCCUCCAUUGUUAAAACAAUGUCUCCUCCCCUUCUGCUAACAAGCAACAAUUUUUUAACACUUCUGUAGUACUUUCCCAUGAUAACAACAGCAACUUCUUGAGAUGUCAUUUAACAUAUAUCCCUGAAUAAUUGAAUAAUUGAUCAAUAGUAGUAGAUAAAUAUAUUAAAAUUAUGUUCAACUGCAGCACCAACAGCAAGCAAAGUAAUACAAGACCCAGCAUAUCACAAAUGAACAUUGUGUAGCUGAGAAAGGAAAAAACUAGAAUUUAGUACUCCAGGAAAUAAAAACGUUACACUUCCUUAUCAUAAAAAGCUUUAAAAACCUUGUUAACAAUUACUUUGAGCAGUUCAUGUGAGAAUAUCUAAGAUUAAAAAGCAGUAGUGAGCUUAAAGCUAUGUAAAAAGUCUUAUCAAAAGCUGUUAUCAAUUUAAUCAUUCAAACAAAGUAGCAAAUGUUACCAUUUUAUAAACUGGAAUUCCUAGGAGAUUUCUCUUAGAAGACCAUUCAUAUGCUAUAACUUUAGACAUGAUUUAUUUUAUUAUUACAAUUGUCAGAUGGUAAAUUCUGUCUCUUUUUUCCAAGAUAAUACACUUAAAGAUGGCUGUUCUGUGAAGAGUACAGUAUUUGGAAUGUAUGCAAUAAAUUUCAAGGCCCUUCAGGAACAUGAUAUUGUCUUAGUUGGAAUGGCUGAGAAAAUUCACAUUGACUCUUCUGUGCACGGGGCUGCACUUUUAACCCAAGCCAAAUGUAAUGAUAUUCCUAUAAAUCACCAAGUCCAAGCAUUGUAGCUCAGCUCACACAGGCAGAUCCUCAGCUCCAGAGCUCUGAUUAAGUCAACAGGGCCAGACAUCAGUACUGAUCUUGUGUGAUUGGAUUACAGGAUUGGAGCUGUGAUUUGUCCUACUGAAACCACCCUAAGGUACUUAAACAGAUAAAUCCUACUAUCACAUUUCUUUUCUUAUUGAUUACACUUUCUGAAAUGCAGGGGGAAAAAAAACAAAAAAACAAAGAAAACCAAAACAACAACAACAAAACCCCCCAACCUUGCUUUCUCCACAUAGCAUUAUGAUAAGGUGCAUGAAGGGCUGGAAGGACAACAGAAAUACCUCUAGGGGAAUAA
This is a long non-coding RNA of Serinus canaria (Common canary), 3055 nucleotides long. RefSeq lists it as uncharacterized. Lineage: Eukaryota; Metazoa; Chordata; Aves; Passeriformes; Fringillidae. The record is from RefSeq and is a predicted model, not a curated record. The transcript has 5 exons.